Molecule: long non-coding RNA, 2747 nt
Filed under: Triticum aestivum (bread wheat)
Lineage: Eukaryota; Viridiplantae; Streptophyta; Magnoliopsida; Poales; Poaceae
Description: long non-coding RNA (TAES_LNC027289)
Source: RNAcentral
UCAGGGAGUGCCCUGAUGCUCAGGCUGUAACUGUGGUUGCCGGCCGGCUCGAUAGCAAGGGUGCGUAGGGGGCGGCGAGGAUUGUCGCUGAACUUGUGCGCGUGUGGAGGGACGGCUCAUGGAUGGCCGAGGUUCGUCAGCGAUGUCGCGGUGACCUCGGCCUUCACUGGCGAGGGUGCGUCAUGUCUUCACUUGGGAAGAGCUCCAUGCACUCCAUCAACUUCAUCCAUCAGCACCAGCAUGGGGGCAUGCUGCGUCUUUAGGAGGGGGCAUUGUCACGACCAACCUAACGACCGAAGAGCAAAGGAAGGAAUGGAAGAAGCAAAGCCAGAAUAAGAAGACUACGAAGAGAGUAGCGCUUGCUCUUUUGCGCUGCUAGCGGGAAGCCCAAUCCCACGCAGGCACAAUGGCACAAUACUAAAGAAUGCCCCAGGUCAGUGAUGUUAAAUAGCUGUUGUCGUCGUUGUCGAGAGACCAGUUUGUAUCAGGGGCAGAGCUAGAUGGUGGACAUGAAUUUAUAUCAUAGCAAGAAAAAUCUAAAUAUUUUCUUUUAAAGGAUAGUUUCACUGCUGGCCCACCCUGACUCAUUGGGCUAGACCCGCCACUGGUCUGUAUCUAGCUAUUGCUAAACCACUCCUUCCUGCUCCUCUUUGUUCUUCCUCAAGAACUUGUGCUUCACAUUACCUGUAUCUUGGCGUGGUACCAAGGUGCUCGGAUAUGUAAUAAUCAAAGUUUGAUCCAUUCUGUAUCCCUUUAUAGUGUUACUUUUGGCAUCAGAGCCUCAGAUCCCACCUUAUUCUUUUCCUCCCAAUUUUUUCUGAGAGUUGAGAGCAUAUCCCCAGCAACCCACCAAAAUCCUUUGCUACUAUUUGGUUGUGAAACUGAGUUUCUAUGGUAUCUCUUGAUUCUUUGACAUAGGAGCUUAUGCAAGGUAUGCUGUACUUAUUUUAUAAAUUGAACCCCACCGUCGCCUCCCACACUUUACUUGAGGAAAGGCCUCUGCUCUGUACUCUCCAGACUCCCUUCUCUCUCUGCCUCGCCUCCAAUCAUUGUCGUUGCCUGCUGACAACCGGUUGCCGAAGCUGGUUGCCUGUGCCACGGGCCACAUGGCACUCCGCCUGGCCAUGCCCCUGCAUCUAGCCCUAGCCCCAGCCCUUGUAGUUGAGGCCUGAGGCGUGGUGAUGGCUCAUUGGUGAUGUGGUUGCAUGUCUGAGGAACUAAUCCUAUCGUGCAAUGAUGCAUGGAGCGAUGGGGAUGACACACUCGCAUGAGAGCGGCCCCAUGGCCGUUGCAUAAGGAGAUGACAACGCUCUCAAAGCUGGACGGAGGACUACUCUAUCCUAGCAUGUGACGUUUGUCUAUCCUGAAAGCUGCUGUCGUCGCCUCAGUCGGUAGAUGGCAUGAGGUGGCAGAGGCAACGGUUGCUUUGUCGUCCAAGGCUAGGAGCACGAAGCAAGCUCGAGCAGCGGGUAUGACUGUUGAGGUGACAAUCUGGCAAUGGCUUCUGCCUCAUGCUGUUAGAUGCAGGAACACCUGCCUGAUCUCUUCCAAUUAUGCAUGCAUGACAGAAAUUUCUGGAUGGGCUGAAAGAUUGCCUAAAGAAAUGCUGUAUCAGGCAUUGCUUGAUUCUGGUUUAAUAGGUUGGAUUUCGGAUUGUAGAGGAAAAAAGGGUUUGAGAGAGAGACCAAGGGAUCGGUAGCCUGCUCGUGUUUUGCUUCUGGAAAUUGAUGAAAGAGAGACGAAAACAGAUAGGAGGUAGACGCACUGGGACCCACAUGAGGAUUGGUUCUUCUAUCCUCGGCUCACAUAUGUGUGAUAUUAGAUUUAUAAUUAACCAACAUUUGAUUAUCCAAUCGAAACUCAUGUUCAAAGUUAAUCCAAUUUAGUUACUAUUGAAAUGCAACUAAGACCGUCAAAAUUAGUACUAUUGGAAAAUUAAAUAAACAUAAAUAUUUUUUCCAUAAUGCAAUAUUGGGGGGCAUCUUAUAUUGGGGUUCAUAUUACAUGCGAUUUUCGGCUGUACAUUGGAAAUUAGAUAGUGCUUGGAUUAUAAUAAUACGUAAUUCUGCAUUUCCUCGUGUUUAUAGAUUAGAUGACAAUUGACAGUGGAAAAACCUGCAUCCUGCAUGUACUCCAGCAGGCUCACUCUGCCCACAUUGGUCCACCGGCGUGGCAAAUCACCCAAUUGCUCUAGUUUUUAUGUAAAGUCCAGUUAAAUAAUCUUUUGUUGUCGAUAGUUUCACCACUGCCAGCUUCUUUGGUUGGCAAACAAACAAUAUCCAAGCAAUUAAGCCAACGGCAUAGCAAGGAUUUAUCGAAGCCCAGGGCUGACUGCUAGAGGCCCAACCAGAGGGAAAGAUAAUGGGCUGCGCCUCAGGCCAAACAUGAUACCCACUAAAAUAUAGGCCAGGGAUCCUAAAAAAUAAACUACAAUAUAGGCUAGGAAUUUUCCCACGCCCUGGGCCUGCCUGGGGCCCAGCCAUGCUUUUGCAUUAAGCACGACCCCAUCCGAAAAAUGUAUAUCAGAAAUGGCAAUUAUCUUUAAUUAGGAGUAAGAGUUUACUGUUGUAAUAGGUAAUGCAAACAUGGCUAAGUUAACCAUGGUCAGUCUCCCUCCUCCUGGUGAGUAUGUUGCUCCUGUUAGGAAAAUAUGCGUCAUUGUAUUAUCAGUAGGCUGAAGCCAUCAUAUAUACAUGUACAGGAGGGAGGCCAAAGGCCAGAAUGCAAAAGGCCAAAGGACACCAUNN